UUUGGUCAUCAAAAGAACACAGUGGUCAUUCUUGGCUUGGAUGGAAAUUUGUGCUGGCAUGUGUUGUUGUUGCCUCUUGGAUAUAUGCUUCUAGGUAGUUGAAGGAGGUGAUAUCUGACUUCUCUAUCAGGUUUAUGACAAUUGAUAAGAGUUGGAUUAAAUUGGGAAACCGGAAUUCUCCGGAUUUCUUAAAUGGUAUUCGCAACUUUAUAGAGAUUGCCAAGAACCAUGUCAACGAUCAAGGCAAAGCGUUUUGCCCAUGUAGACGAUGUUGCAAUGGGAUACGACAUGAUUUGAAAACAAUAGGAAACCACAUACACGAGAGUGGGUUUCUGUCAUCAUACCGAACAUGGCAUUAUCAUGGUGAGGAACAUCCACAGGCUGAGGAGAUAGCAGCCCUUUUUUCUCACCGAACACAUACUCUCACAACAAGCAAUGAGAUGUUUGACUUAAUUGAUGAUAUUAUGGCGGAACAACCUACUCAUACCCCAGGAGCUACACCUACUGAAGGA
This 512-nucleotide long non-coding RNA is filed under the name Helianthus annuus (common sunflower). The record is from RNAcentral. Lineage: Eukaryota; Viridiplantae; Streptophyta; Magnoliopsida; Asterales; Asteraceae.